This 206-nucleotide long non-coding RNA is filed under the name Olea europaea (common olive). RNAcentral's name for it is "long non-coding RNA (OEUR_LNC005479)". The record is from RNAcentral. Lineage: Eukaryota; Viridiplantae; Streptophyta; Magnoliopsida; Lamiales; Oleaceae.
CCAAGUUCACACAAAUUAAGUGCACAUUAAUUGUGGAAAUAAACAAAGCAAUAUAAUCCAUUCAAAUAUCCCAUUGAACUAAUAAUUCAAAAUCAUGAAAUAACAAGUUCAAUAAUAAUUACAUGGUUCAUCGAUCACCUAGUUGCAGAAAUCUAGCCUAUCAUGAUAAAAAUAACAAAAUCUAACAAAGUAUGAAUAAAAUACAU